RNAcentral lists this ribosomal RNA (427 nucleotides) under uncultured bacterium. RNAcentral describes it as "partial 16S ribosomal RNA". It matches the Rfam family "Bacterial small subunit ribosomal RNA", at positions 354 to 796 of the family's 1533-position model. The record is from RNAcentral.
GUGGGGAAUAUUGGGCAAUGGGGGCAACCCUGACCCAGCGACGCCGCGUGGGUGAAGAAAUCCCUCGGGAUGUAAAGCCCUGUUGUAUGGGAAGAGCAGAAGACGGUACCAUACGAGGAAGCCCCGGCAAACUACGUGCCAGCAGCCGCGGUAAUACGUAGGGGGCAAGCGUUGUCCGGAAUUACUGGGCGUAAAGCGCACGCAGGCUGAAUUAUAAGUCGGUAGUCAAAUACGGAGGCUCAACUUCCGGAUAUCUAUCGAUACUGUAAAUCUAGAGUAUGUGAGAGGGAAGCGGAAUUCCCGGUGUAGCGGUGAAAUGCGUAGAUAUCGGGAAGAACACCGGUGGCGAAGGCGACUUGCUGGCCAGCAACUGACGCUGAGGCGCGAAAGCCAGGGGAGCAAACGGGAUUAGAUACCCCAGUAGUCC